ACCCUGUUUAAAAAAAAAAAAAAAAAAAUUGGGAAAUUGCCAAAAAAUUAUAAAGAUGUGGAUAGAUUUUUUGUAUUGUGAUUUAUUGUAAAUAUACUACUGAGUUUUAAAAGACUUUCUGAGAUACCUGUGAAUUCUACUAUGACCUUUUGAUUUGAUACUGUUGUUUAGCUAAUGGCUUAUGUGAACGAUCCCUUCUCUCUGCUGAACUCCUUCGCCGAAGUGCAGAGGGUUCGGUUGGUCUCCAGUUCUCUGCAAGCCCCGUGAUGUGUGGGUUCUGCAGUCAAGCUGCCUCUGUCCCUUAGCAGCACGUUUUUCAUUGCCCCUUUUGUACAAAGCUGUGAUAAAAUAAAAACUUCAGCCAAAUUAAA
Long non-coding RNA from Cercocebus atys (sooty mangabey), 371 nucleotides. RefSeq lists it as uncharacterized. Lineage: Eukaryota; Metazoa; Chordata; Mammalia; Primates; Cercopithecidae. The record is from RefSeq and is a predicted model, not a curated record. The transcript is spliced from 2 exons.